GUGAUCGCUUCGACAGCACAAUUUAUUUGGAAUGACACAGAGAUUAGUGUAGCCCUGUGCAAGGAUGACACACAAAUUUAGGAAGGGUCCUAUGUUUGU
Molecule: small nuclear RNA, 99 nt
Organism: Rattus norvegicus (Norway rat)
Lineage: Eukaryota; Metazoa; Chordata; Mammalia; Rodentia; Muridae
Source: Ensembl